AUGUGGUGGAGCUGCAGGGUCAGGGCUGGUGACCGCGGAUGUCGGCGGCAUCCACGAUGGUGCGGGAAACUCACAACCGCUGCGGAUGUGGCGGGCUCCGCCUCAUCGCAGCAGAAGGUGACAGCGUCGAGCGGCGUAGUCCAUCCCGAUGCCCCCGUUGCGCCGCCUGCCAUGGAGGAGGAGGAGGAGGAUGGUGGGGGGAAGAGGAGGAAGAUAGACUAUACUUUCGACGACCCGUACGAUCUAGCGUAUGGUGACGAUGAAGAAUAUGAGUAUGUCCCUGGGGAAGAUGUGGAUGUGGACUGCGGCAACUUCGCCUCCUUCAAAGAGAAGGAAGAGAAGAAGAUCAUGAUCAAGGGCGUGGAUUACUACUACAAGAGCAAGACCAAAACUUGGCGCUGCCCCUACUUGACCACCAAGCCAAAGCCAAAGUCCGGCCGCUUCGUUCACCUUCUAGCUCAUGCAGAAGAUGUGGCCAUCCACGGCGAGGACUACAAGAUCAUGGGGCAGCAUGCUGCCCUAGCCAAAGCCGUGCGCCACCUCCUGGCCGGCGCCGAGGAGUCCGCGCUCUAUGUCCCGGUGGACGCCGAGGGCGUGCGCCUCCUCAUCGCGCUCUACGACCUCGAGGCCGCCAAGCUCCGCUCCCGCCUCGACCUCGAUGCCUUCCAUGUCGCCGCCAAGCAAGGGCACACCGGGUUUGAUGCUCCGAGGAACAGCAUGGAGUUCGCCAUGGAGGCUCCCCACAGCAACGGCGUCUUCCAAGAGGACGUCCCGCAGGGGAAGAAGGAGGAGGAGGAGUUCAGCAUGGGGCCCCUCUCCAUUCUCAUGCUCAGCGUCGGCGUCUUCCCCGAUGGUGACUAUGGCGGGACCCUCGAGAUCGUCGUCUUCCUGACCGGGACCCUUGGU
RNAcentral lists this ribosomal RNA (906 nucleotides) under Triticum aestivum (bread wheat). RNAcentral describes it as "partial small subunit ribosomal RNA". Lineage: Eukaryota; Viridiplantae; Streptophyta; Magnoliopsida; Poales; Poaceae. The record is from RNAcentral.